Molecule: transfer RNA, 70 nt
Filed under: Chrotopterus auritus
Lineage: Eukaryota; Metazoa; Chordata; Mammalia; Chiroptera; Phyllostomidae
Description: tRNA-Phe
Rfam family: tRNA
About the family: Transfer RNA (tRNA) molecules are approximately 80 nucleotides in length.
Source: RNAcentral
GUUAAUGUAGCUUAACAAUUAAAGCGAGGCACUGAAAAUGCCUAGAUGAGUUCACGAAACUCCAUAAACA